RNAcentral lists this ribosomal RNA (253 nucleotides) under uncultured bacterium. RNAcentral describes it as "partial 16S ribosomal RNA". It matches the Rfam family "Bacterial small subunit ribosomal RNA", at positions 524 to 776 of the family's 1533-position model. The record is from RNAcentral.
UACGAAGGGUGCAAGCGUUAAUCGGAAUUACUGGGCGUAAAGCGCGCGUAGGUGGCCAAUUAAGUCAAAUGUGAAAGCCCCGGGCUCAACCUGGGAAUUGCAUUUGAAACUGGGGAACUAGAGUGUGUGAGAGGGGGGUAGAAUUCCAAGUGUAGCGGUGAAAUGCGUAGAGAUUUGGAGGAAUACCAGUGGCGAAGGCGGCCCCCUGGCACAACACUGACGCUCAGGUGCGAAAGCGUGGGGAGCAAACAGG